RNAcentral lists this small RNA (578 nucleotides) under Histoplasma ohiense. RNAcentral describes it as "hypothetical lncRNA". The record is from RNAcentral. Lineage: Eukaryota; Fungi; Ascomycota; Eurotiomycetes; Onygenales; Ajellomycetaceae.
CCCUGAGGAGCCGUUAUAUUCUCCUCGCCCAAUCCCGUUCCUUUUUGCGCUAUCCCAUCCCGCUCUUGACUUUGUCCUUGGGAUCGCGGUAUCAGUAUAUACGCUAAACCCUCCUUAACUGCCAUAUACUCCUUUCCCUCAUGACGCACAAUCUGUCCCGCGCUCAACUCCGUGCCCGAUUCCACGGCUGCAGGCAGAAAACCGGAGAUUUCCCCAGCCGUCUGAGUCAUUGCAGCUUUUGUUGAGCUAGUGCUCGUCCUCGAAAACACACGCUUCUCUGGAAAUACGGUCAAUGGCAAUCGGAGACAGAUCCGGAGCUUUCUACCCCUUUGGGACAAUGGAAGCGCGGUAGAUAAGCUCUUAAUGUUAGUAGUGAGCUGUGUGGUACGGAGGAGCGGCGGAAGUCGAGCACCAAGGGCUGCAGAUUUUGGAGGCGCUAAAGCUGUCGCCCAACAUAGCAAAAAUGCAGGGUUUACGCAUGUGCAUGUGCGCGCGCUUCUCAAGGAGAGAAUUGGGUACAUCGACGUUCCAUAGCAGCUUGGAAGCGCACAGUUGUGGAUCUUUCUCUGCUACCUGCG